Molecule: long non-coding RNA, 6662 nt
Organism: Gossypium raimondii (Peruvian cotton)
Lineage: Eukaryota; Viridiplantae; Streptophyta; Magnoliopsida; Malvales; Malvaceae
Exons: 8
Source: RefSeq, a predicted model, not a curated record
AUUAGGAUCCGCUAAUUUUACCUGAAACUAGACUCAUAUACCUUGUUACCAUAAAAUUUUCAGAAUUUUUGCUUCCACCAAUAAGUACAGUUUAUUGUUUAAAGUCACAUUUGUUCUGCUGUCUGACAAUUCCGACCCUUCUUCACUAAAAAUUAAUUAUCUCUUUGUUCAGAAUUCAGAUUAUGCCCCCAUUUGUUUCUGUUGAAAAUAGACUAAUUAAGGAUUUUAAAAAUAUAAAUUAUAACCCAUAACUAUUUUUUUACAAUUUUUAAUGAUUUUUCCAAGUCAGAACAGGGGAACCCGAAUUCAAUCUGACCUUGUCUCACAAAAUUUAUUAUAUCUCAUAAUUUACAAUUCCAUUACUUACACCGUUUCUUUUAUGAGAAACUAGACUCAAUAAGCUUUAAUUACAUAUUUUAUUCAUACUCUAAUUAGAUUUUCAUAAUUGAUGGUGAUUUUUCAAAGUGAGCCCACUGUUACUGGCCAAAACCAUUUUAGUGCAAGAUGUUUAUUACCAUGUUUAUAACACCCUUAUUUUCUUUCUCUACACUAUUUCUCAUCACUUUCUCUUAUUUUCUCUUCACUAACAUAUCAAUAAAAUAGGACCAUAUAUACAAAAACUUUACAUUAACAUCAUUUCCAUGCUUUUUCAAUAAUAUCAAACUUAAAAAUAUAUUAAAAUCUUGAUGUACUUACCUUGUCAUAUUGAUUUCAAUCUUUAACUUGAUUUUCUCUCUCCUCCGCUUCUAUUUCUUGAAUCUAACUUGAUAUUCUAGCUCCCCAUAGUCUCCUUGUUAUCUUUCUCUCUUGAUGGAUAUGAAAAUUCUUUUGAUUUCUAGAUAAAAAUGAUGAAUUUUUGGUGGAAGGACUAAAUUGUAAAGAAAGUAAAACUUUCUUUCUUCUCUUCUCUUCUAACGUGAAUUGCAUGGAAAAGAUGGUGGGUUGGAUCCUUCUCAUCUUUAUUUCCACACACAUAUAUAUAUAUAUAUACUAAAUAUUAAAAUAAUAACAUAUCAUUUAAUAUACUAAAUAUCCUUCACUUUUACGAUUUAAUCCUUUCUUGAACUAAUAUGUCAUAAUAUACGACCCAAUGUUGACAUAACUCCAAAAUUUCCUAUUUUUGACGCUUUAUUUUCUUAUUUUAUUAUAUCAAAUAUAAUAUCUUACUGUAAAGAUUUUCGGGGUAUUACACUUUUGCUAUCGGUACUGUUGCCAUCAUCACUACGUCCCUCCUCAUCUUCUUCAUGGUUUCCCUCACCAUUGCCCUUUCCGUUAGGCUUAGACGCCUCGAGCUUGUCUCCUCUUGAACCAAGCUCAACAAAGGACUCUGUUUCUACCAUGGCUACAGUAAGUUCAAUGAUUCCUUUCCUUCGCAACUCCUGCUUUGCCCACGGCUUUAACCCAUCCUCGAACCAAUAGAAUGCUUCUUUCUCGCUCAAGUCGGAGAUUUGAAGCAUCAACUCGCUAAAUGUCCGAACAUACUCCCGAACAGUGCCUUGUUGCGUGAGACGACGCAACUUUGCACGAGCCUCCUUCUUGGCAAACUGAGGGUAAAACUGCUUCUUCAAAUCUCUUUGGAACUCCUCCCAAGUCCCAAUUGCGUUCCCACCACGUUUCUCAUCCGUGGACCUACGACGCCACCACAAGAGAGCUACAUCAGUAAAAUAGAUUGAAGCUGUAUUUACCUUAAUGGCGUCAUCCUCGAUGCCCAUCGCUUAGAAAUAUUGCUCCAUUUCCCACAAGAAGUUGUCCACAUCCCUUGCGGAUCGUGCACCCUUAAACUUUUCUGGUGGGAACAUCCAUUGCUUGUUGUUUCGGUCUUGAAGACAACAUCCCAUUACUCAAAGCGGCUUUGUAGAUCGCGAGCUCCCCUUUGAGCUCCUCUAUUUCUUUCUUCAUGGCUAACACCAUAUCCUCGAGAUACUCAUCCCUCUCUGCCAGCUUUCCCGCAGUGGACUCAAGUAAAUCAUUCAUCUUUUCCUUAUUGGCAUCGAGAGAAUCCAACACAAAAUCUCUGAGUUGCUCCUCCAUUGAGUCAAACCCAUCCGUGCGUCCCUCGACCAAUUCAAGCGUCUCUUUCACGUUCCCGAUGGAUUCCUCGAGAUUCACCACUCGAUUUUCCAAAGCUGUCAGCAUUUCCCUCGAGCGACUGGAUUUUCUGGCCCUCCCACGGGUCUCCAUUGGUUCACUCUAACCGAUGACUUCUUUCGACAUCCCAACGGUGCCUUCGAACCAACUCGAAUAUCACUUGGUUCAAAACCUGCUCGGAUACCACUUGUCACGGGGCUAGACCUUUCGUCUGCAAUCCGUGCCGCCUUAGGCAAUCUGUUCGUCCAAGCUCGCCCAAGUCAGCCUUAACACCCAAAAGUGAGGAUUCUUUUAAAGAACUCCUCCAAGGCACCGAUUUGUAUAGCGGAAGCGAUUUAGCCAAAAAAAGCCACAAAAGAAAAACAGAAAGCUAAAGAAAGAAUGCAAACAAAGUGUUUGAGUAAAUGCCCAGGAAUUCUAUUACUCUUAAGAAUUCACCUUACAAGGGAUGAUUACAAAUGAGGGGGAGGCUCUCUAUUUAUAGUUGAGCUCCCCCAAAACCGACGGUCAAGAUACAUUUACAUCGACGGACGAGAUUCAUUAUGUCCCUUGAUGUUAGGGAUUUACAUGAUUUGCCAUAUCAAAUCUAAUCUAAUGUUUACAAGAUAUGAUUCUCUCUAUCUUUUAAGAUUAGUUACCAAAAUUAGCCUAAGUUGCCAUGUCUUCAUCAUUGGGCCAACCAGGCUUCAAUCUGACAGGCUUCUCCAAUAAUUCCUUGAAUCAGGCCAGUUCUCGUGGGCUAAAUGUUCCCCAUCUUAUCAAUGGACCUCCAUGGGGCACUUCUUGUGCCAUGGUCACGGGCUUUGCACUUUGCCCCGUGACAUAUGCAGCCACUUAUUGAAGAGUUGAAACAAUUAUGGGCAGGUGUAGAAACAUAUGAUGGCUUAAAAAAGGAGAACUUUUAUUUACGUGCAACUUUGUUGUGGACUAUUAAUGAUUUUUUGGCUUAUGCCAAUUUAUCUGGUUGGAGUACCAAAGGGUGUUAUGCUUGUCCUUGUUAUGUGGCGCAAACAUGUUCGAAGUGGUUAUAUAAUGGGAAAAAGUUAUCUUAUAUGGGGCAUCAUCGGUGGUUAGAUGGAAAUUAUAGAUUUAGAUUUCAGAGGACUUUAUUUGAUGGUACUGAAGAGUUCAGAGAAGCUCCUAAGCAAACCAUUAGAUCUGAAAUCUUGCUUAUGUUAAAAGAUAUCAAUUUCAGUUAUGGAAAGAUGGAUCAACCACCCAACACGCAAACAAAUAGAAGACCGAGGGAGGUGUAUGUUGGCGAUGUUGACCGGCAGAUUGAUGAUGAAUCUGCUGAAGAGGAUGAUCCUAAUGAGGCGGACUUGUGGAAAAAGAAGAAGUAUUUUUUUAGUUACCUUAUUGGGAGCAUCACAUUUUACGACAUAAUCUUGAUGUCAUACAUAUUGAAAAGAAUGUUUGCGAGAACAUCAUUGGGACAAUUCUGAAUGUCGAUAGAAAAGAGAAAGACAAUCUUCAGAGUCUACUUGAUCUAGUUGACAUGGGAAUUCGAUGUUAUCUUCAUCCCUAAGCACUUCUGAAUGAGAAAUAUCAGUUAACACCUUCUAUUUUUGCAAUGUCGAAGAAAGAAAAAGAAGUGUUCUGUACGGUGUUGAAAGAUAUAAAGGUCCCAGAUGCGUAUGCAUCAAAUAUAUCUCGAUGUGUGAGUCUUAAAGAUCGAAGACUAUAUUCCCUAAAAUCACAUGAUUAUCACAUCUUGAUGCAAGAUUUACUGCUAGUUGCUUUACAGUGUUGUAUGUAAAAAAAGGUGACGUCUUGUAUAAUUGAACUAUCUAAUAUAAUGAAAGCUAUUUGUGGCAAAGUUUUAAUUGUUGAAGAACUUGCGAAAGUACAAGAUCGAGCCGCAUUGACUUUAUGCAAUUUGGAGAAGAUCUUUCUACCUUAUUUCUUCACUAUUAUGGUGCACUUGCUAAUUCAUUUCACUCAUGAAGCAAAACUUGGUAGACCGGUUUUCUAUCAGUGGAUGUAUCCUAUAGAGAGGUGCUAAUUUAUUUGUAAAGUUUUCAUUCAUUCAUGAAUAUACCUUUAGUUACAACUUUUGAUAAUGUUGUAUAUCAUGUUUAGGUUCCUAUGCCAAUUGAAGUCUUAUUGUUGUAAUAAUCGUUACCCAGAAGGAUCAAUUGCUGCAGGUUACUUGGCAGAGGAGUGUAUGACUUUCUGUUCUAGAUAUUUAGAAGAUGUUGAAACAAGACUGAAUAUACCAAGUAGAAAUGUUGGGCUCACUAAUCGUAACUUAGCCGAAACUUAUUUAUUUCGAAGUUAUGGAGAACCAAUAUGUAAAGUUGAAAUUGCACACCUAGAUGAUAGAUCUUAGGUACAAGCACAUCGAUAUGUUCUUUUUCACCACGAUUUAAUUAAACUAUUAAUCAAGUAAGUUUUAGAAUUUGAUAAAUAUUCAUCUUUUUUAUUUGUUUAUCUUCUAACCAAGUAAUCCACUUUUUAACAUAGCGAGUACAAACAAGUCUCGAGAUCUCAUUCACGCUCCUGAAGAUUACAACAUCGAGAGAUUCAUAAGUUAUUCACAAAAUAUUUUCAUGAAUGGUUAUGGCAAAUGGUUUGGAGUGGAAAGGACAUCAAUGACGAAGUUAAAUGGCUUUGCCAAGGUCUGAAUAGAGUAAUAAAAAGAUAUAGUGCCUUCCUCAUCAAUGGAUUCAGGUUUCAUACAAAAUCUCGCGAAAGAUUGAGGAGGACUCAAAAUUGUAGAAUAGUUGUUAAUUCUUCAAUUACAAGUUAUGCUAAUGCUAGGGACAGUAAUCCUGCUGAGGGAAAUGUGGAGUAUUAUGGGCUUCUUACUGGCAGUAUUGAGUUGGAUUACUAUGGCAAACGGAAGGUUGUCUUAUUUUGAUGUGAUUGAGCUGAUGUUAAUAUUGCUCGUGAAAUUAAAAAAAAGAUCAAUUUGGUUUUACAAUGGUGAACUUCUCUCGAUUAAUUCACACUGGACAACAAUUGAUAGACGAGUUGUAUGUAUUUUAUUCUCAAGUGAAACAUGUUUUUUACUCGAAAGAUUCAACUAAUGAGGGUUGGUACGUUGUACUCCGUAACACCCCUAGAGACUUGUUUGACAUGGGCAAUAGAAGUAGAGAUGACAUCGGCGAAAGAUCAGAAACUUUACCUUUUCCAGAACAAAACUUAAAUGAAACUAUCCCUAGUAUUAGUACACAAUUUCAAUGGGUUCGCCAGGAUGUGGAUGAAAAUAUUUACGAAUUAUGAUGUAAUAAAAUGCCUAGAAGAAGAUUGUGAGAUCUAAGUAUUGUUCAAAAUCGUCCAAAUUCAGAAGAAACAAAUAGUGAACAACAGACUGCUAUUGGAUCUUCGAAUGCCCCGAAUACAGCUGACGAACCUGUAGAAAUUUAAACUGAAAGUGAUGGGACGCGCAAAACUCGAGGACGUACGCUAUUAAAAGAUUUAUACGAGUUAAAUUCUGUCGAGCAUUUCAAAGUACCUACAAACAGUCUUGGUCAGCCUAUUGGAUCAGCAGCUCGACUUUUAGCAGGAUACUUGGGCAUUAUAGCACGGAAUGCCAAUCUGUUGCCUAUUAACAACGAGUCAUGGCAUCAUAUGCUUGAUAGUAAAAAAAAUCAAGCUCUCGAUAAUAUUAAGGAGAGAUUUGCUUUAGAGGUCUCGGAUAAUUAUGUGAAGAAGGCAUUAGGAAAAAAUGGAGAGACCAUAAAAUUGCUUCAAAGAAGAAAUAUUUUAAGAAAAAUAUAAGCCUCGAAGAGAAAUUGCGAAAUGUCCUGCCAGGAAUGUUGAGGUACCAAUGGGAGGAUACAAUUAGAUUUUAGAAUUCAAAGAAAGGAGAGGAUCGUGAGCGAGUUGGAACUACAAGUAGGCAAAAACAAAAAUUCACGCACACAGUUGUGUCAAAAAGUUUUGCUUGUGUAGCUGAGGCCGAGGAACUGUCGUCUGGUCAAAAAGUUGGACGCUUUCAACCUUUUGACAUUACAAAUAGAAAGAAAGAUGGAUCUCCUAUGACUACUGAAGCUGCAGAAAUUAUGGAGAAACUAAAGGAUAAAAAGGAGCAGUAUGAAGUGGUCUCUUCGAGUGAUAGUUCUGUUAAUCUUGACGACAUUGAUAACCGAAUUAUUACUGAAGUUUUGGGUCCUGAAAGGUAUGGUCAGGUUCGAUUUCAAGGAUCUUUUGUUAACCAAACUCAAUAUUUUAGAUCCAGCUCGCAGCAAUACAUGUCUUCGGGGAGUCAGGCUCAAGCUGAAGUUCAGAGGUUAAGAGACCAGAUGGCUUAGAUGCAAGCGAGCACAGUUGAGCAAAUUUCUCAACUUAAAGCGGAGGUAGCAUCGAGAGAAGUAGAGGCUUAAAGAAAAUAUGAAGAAAUCCAGCUACAGCUUAAAGCAGAGGCAGCAGUGAGGGAAGCAGAGGCAGCAACGAGGGAAGUAAAGCAAAGAAGAAAAUAUGACGCACUCCAACUACAGCUUCAGAAUAUGAUGAAGAUGUUUCAGCAGUCGUAGAAUCCGCCAUCUUAUACGUUUGUUUUCUUAUUGUAAGAAUAUUUUAACAUUAUAACUUUUGAAAAAAAUAAAUUUUGUUGUUUCAUUUAUUAA